Dama dama (fallow deer) is the source of this 2278-nucleotide long non-coding RNA. RefSeq lists it as uncharacterized. The record is from RefSeq and is a predicted model, not a curated record. Lineage: Eukaryota; Metazoa; Chordata; Mammalia; Artiodactyla; Cervidae. The transcript has 2 exons.
CCGCCGCCGGGGGUGCGGGCUGUCAGCCCCCAGCACCAGUGACCCGCGGUUUCCUGGAGCCCACGCCCCCUUCGUGGGUCCGGGAGGAGCCGCCUCUGAGCCCGCCGGAUGACGUCCGUGGGCACAGCCGCGCUGACGUCGCCAGGCGCACGUUCGGGAACUGUCAUUGGCCGGGAACCGCUCGGCCCUCUCACCGCCCGACCCGGAUUCCUUGGCCGCUGAGGAGACCCGGUCCCGCCAGAGGCGAGCCCGGGUGCCCGGCGGGCUCUCCGCUGCGCCGGUGGGAGCGCGGCCCGGGCCGGCGAGAAUGGUUCUCCCGCGAGGGACUCACCGGUGGAGCGGCUCUGCAGUGUUUCGGCGCUUGUCUGCAGACACUUGUUGGUAGUGACGGACCGCCUUUCCCUAAGUGCAUUUCAGGAUGAACCACCGGAAGUCACUAAUCAGUUGCACUUUAAAGAGAAGUUAUUCCGGGUGGCCUGAUGUAAUGGUGGGAAAUCUUUACAGACAGUCCGACGGUGAGGUUCAAAGCAGCAGCGGGUUGCUUCACUGUUGGCCUUGAAGACGCAGUCUCGCGUGCUGAGUGGGGCGCCGCGGCCCAGUCCCGCGGAAUUCGGGAUUCAGCGCACAGGCCUGGGAGAAGAGCGUGGGCUACAGGAAGCCCGGCCCUGAGAAGGCCCCGACUCCAGCGCCCUGAGGAUCUGAGCCCAGGCCAGGAACCCUGACUACAGAGCUGUGAAACGGUAAAAAGCCGCUGUUUUAAAUCACCGUGUCAUCAUUUGUUAUCGUGGAAAUAGAAAUGUUUUCACCGAAGAGCCUUGUGAAACUAAGCCUUCAUGCAACUUAACCGGGGGAAAAGAAAGCAAAACAACCAAUUAUCACCCAAAACGCUCCAAAGAUAAUUCAGGCUCGUGAAAGGAAGCAAUUAACUGAGUUUAAAACAGAAAAUUCAUUGUUCUCCCACUAAGUUAAUGUGGUAAUUAAGGCAAAUGCAGGGGUUUCUUUUCCUUUUUUUAAACUUAAGAUUCACAUGUUCAUCUUUUCUUCUACCUGGGGAUCAAGCCCGGUCUCCGGUGUCUCCUGCAUUGCAGCGGGUUCUUCACCGCUGGAGCCACUGGGGAAGCCCUAAAUGAAAUCACUAAAGCAGAAGAUGUUCUACCACGUGUUGUUCAGUCACUGACUCAUGUCCAGCUCCUUCCGACCCCACGGACUGUAGCCCGCCAGGCUCCUCUGUCCAUGGGAUUGCCCAGGCGAGCAUUCUGGAGUGGGUGGCCGUUCCCUUCUCCAGGAGACCUUCCCACCCACAGAUUGAACCCGGUCUGCUGCACUGUCAGGUAGCUCUACUGCCGAGCCUCAUCUCCUCAGUUCUGUGCCCAGCUCCUAUAUCACAACCGAUACUUUUUUACUGUCAACUGGUAACGUAGGACCUUUAGAAAGAAUUAAGUUAUGUGUGACUCCCUAACCAAUUUAAUGUUUUUCCCUCUUAAAUUUAAUAACAUUUUUGUUUCUUGUUAUAUAAAUUUAGAAUAGUUAUACAUUUGCUCACAAUAAAGAAAUGACAGAUAAUUAUAAUUACUAUGGCAACCACAAUUCUAAAUGUUGAGAACUGGUGGUAUCAGUAUAAUAAUCAAGUGUCCACAUUCCAAAUUUGUUUGCUGUGUUCCCAAAUCGUAUCACGAGUGUCAAGUUGCCCCUUCAUAACCAGUUCCGUUCUUACUAAGGGUUUUAUCUCUCCUUCCAGAGGUAAGGCAGUCAUAACCAGGAUUCACAAACUAGAAGGACUGAAUGGACUGUUCAAGGUUUAACCCCUUCUGGAGCAGGUGGGAGAUGGGAGGGUGGCUGAAGAGGUGAUGUGGGGUGAUUCUCACCUCUCCUCUGACUUCUGUCUGACACUGCUGGCUCAUUAGCCCCUGGAUUAUGAGAUUUUCUUGUUUUAUGUUGCCUCCUUAGCCAAGUGAUAAGAUGUUCUUUUUCGCCAUUCAGGGAGUAGAUACUUCUCUUUGGAUGUAGAAAGGGAUGAUAAAGUACUUUUUUAAGUUAUUUUUCUUUUCUAAAAUAUUUUUUAUUUUUUCCAAAGAUAGAAAGUUAGAGUCAUACCUAAGUAUGAAACAAUGGAAGAAAUGAUUUUAGCAACUGUUCUCUUUAACUUCAGAAACUACAUAAAUUCCCUCAACUUUCUGGAAGGACAGACUUUAUCGGUAUGUGACCUGUGUUACCCUGAGUAGCUUUGGGUUUCAGUUCUGUUUCACUUGCUUUUAAAUUACACAUUGCUGUUUGUUGA